UUAAAGGUAGACUAAGGGUAAGAAGUUGUUAGAUUCAUAAUCUAAAGAUAAAAAUUUUUUUUUCUUUAAA
Molecule: transfer RNA, 70 nt
Filed under: Encyrtus aurantii
Lineage: Eukaryota; Metazoa; Arthropoda; Insecta; Hymenoptera; Encyrtidae
Description: tRNA-Met
Source: RNAcentral